UACGAAGGGGGCUAGCGUUGUUCGGAAUCACUGGGCGUAAAGCGCGUGUAGGUGGGUAUGCAAGCCAGGGGUGAAAGCCCAGAGCUCAACUCUGGAAUUGCCUUUGGAACUGCAUAUCUAGAGUCUUGUAGGGGGUAGUGGAAUUCCUAGUGUAGAGGUGAAAUUCGUAGAUACUAGGAGGAACACCGGUGGCGAAGGCGGCUACCUGGACGAGAACUGACACUGAGACGCGAAAGCGUGGGGAUCAAACAGG
This 253-nucleotide ribosomal RNA is filed under the name uncultured bacterium. Its description in RNAcentral is "partial 16S ribosomal RNA". It matches the Rfam family "Bacterial small subunit ribosomal RNA", at positions 524 to 776 of the family's 1533-position model. The record is from RNAcentral.